RNAcentral lists this ribosomal RNA (460 nucleotides) under uncultured bacterium. Its description in RNAcentral is "bacterial SSU rRNA". It matches the Rfam family "Bacterial small subunit ribosomal RNA", at positions 342 to 794 of the family's 1533-position model. The record is from RNAcentral.
GCGGAGGCAGCAGUAAGGAAUAUUGGACAAUGGGCGCAAGCCUGAUCCAGCCAUGCCGCGUGGGUGAAGAAGGCCUUCGGGUUGUAAAGCCCUUUUGUCCGGAAAGAAAAGCUUCGGGCUAAUACCCCGGGGUUCUGACGGUACCGGAAGAAUAAGCACCGGCUAACUUCGUGCCAGCAGCCGCGGUAAUACGAAGGGUGCAAGCGUUACUCGGAAUUACUGGGCGUAAAGCGUGCGUAGGUGGUUUGUUAAGUCUGAUGUGAAAGCCCUGGGCUCAACCUGGGAAUUGCAUUGGAUACUGGCAGGCUAGAGUGCGGUAGAGGAUGGCGGAAUUCCCGGUGUAGCAGUGAAAUGCGUAGAGAUCGGGAGGAACAUCUGUGGCGAAGGCGGCCAUCUGGACCAGCACUGACACUGAGGCACGAAAGCGUGGGGAGCAAACAGGAUUAGAUACCCCGGUAGU